Molecule: ribosomal RNA, 253 nt
Filed under: uncultured bacterium
Lineage: Bacteria
Description: partial 16S ribosomal RNA
Rfam family: Bacterial small subunit ribosomal RNA
Source: RNAcentral
UACGUAGGGGGCUAGCGUUGUCCGGAAUCAUUGGGCGUAAAGCGCGUGUAGGCGGUUCGGUAAGUCCGCUGUGAAAGUCGGGGGCUCAACCCUCGGAUGCCGGUGGAUACUGUCGGACUAGAGUACGGAAGAGGCGAGUGGAAUUCCUGGUGUAGCGGUGAAAUGCGCAGAUAUCAGGAGGAACACCAAUGGCGAAGGCAGCUCGCUGGGACGGUACUGACGCUGAGACGCGAAAGCUAGGGGAGCGAACAGG